CCCUUAGAUGUUCUGGGCUGCACGCGCGCUACACUGAAGCGUUCAACGAGUAUUUCACCUUGCCCGGGAGGGUUGGGUAAUCUUUUUAAAACGCUUCGUGAUGGGGAUAGAUUAUUGCAAUUAUUAAUCUUCAACGAGGAAUUCCUAGUAAGCGCGAGUCAUCAGCUCGUGCUGAUUACGUCCCUGCCCUUUGUACACACCGCCCGUCGCUCCUACCGAUUGAAUGCUCAGGUGAGCCAUUCGGACUUUCAUCAUGCUGGUUUCCAGUUUUGAUGAAGGAAAGUCUUGCGAACCUUAUCAUUUAGAGGAAGGAGAAGUCGUAACA
This 325-nucleotide ribosomal RNA is filed under the name uncultured eukaryote. RNAcentral's name for it is "partial 18S ribosomal RNA". It matches the Rfam family "Eukaryotic small subunit ribosomal RNA", at positions 1470 to 1796 of the family's 1831-position model. The record is from RNAcentral.